UACGAAGGGGGCUAGCGUUGCUCGGAAUCACUGGGCGUAAAGGGUGCGUAGGCGGGUCUUUAAGUCAGGGGUGAAAUCCUGGAGCUCAACUCCAGAACUGCCUUUGAUACUGAGGAUCUUGAGUUCGGGAGAGGUGAGUGGAAUUCCUAGUGUAGAGGUGAAAUUCGUAGAUAUUAGGAAGAACACCAGUGGCGAAGGCAGCUCUCUGGGACGGUACUGACGCUGAGACGCGAAAGCGUGGGGAGCGAACAGG
RNAcentral lists this ribosomal RNA (253 nucleotides) under uncultured bacterium. Its description in RNAcentral is "partial 16S ribosomal RNA". It matches the Rfam family "Bacterial small subunit ribosomal RNA", at positions 524 to 776 of the family's 1533-position model. The record is from RNAcentral.